AUUUGGCGUACUUGAUGUGAGAGUGCGAAUGAUUUGAUUAUUGGGGAUUGCGGUUGUUCACUAAUUAAAUUUGAAACAGUGGUUAGUGGGGAAAGCGAAAUUUUUAUUGAACAAAUUAUUGAACCAGUCACCCUGGUUGGAGUGGUUUUGAGGUCGAUCUGUCAACGUAUAUGAUGGAUUCUCAGAAGUUUUGCCUCAAGUGGGAUGGGUUCCAGAGCAGCGUCACCUCCGUGUUUGACCACCUGCGGCGGGACGGUGAGCUGGUGGACAUCACACUAUGCUGUGAGGGACAGCGUGUCAAGGCGCACAGGAUGAUGCUGUCAGCCUGCAGCCCUUACUUCAGGGAGCUGCUCAAGGACAACCCCUGCCAACAAAUGGUGUUCUUCCUGAAGGAUACAAGCGCAGAGGACCUGUCUGCCAUCAUUGAGUUCAUGUAUAAGGGCAGCGUGAACGUCAGUCAGACGCAGCUGGCCAGCUUCAUCAGGACGGCAGAGAUGCUGCAGAUUAAAGGACUCAGUGGAGAUGAGGAAAAGAUGCCGCCGUCACCAACUACCCACCAGAGCCCCGGACGCGCCGCGUCUCACGAGCCUCGACCCAUGGCCGCCUCCACGCCUCAGAGACCUCACCGAAACGGAACACCACCGGCUAAGAGAAGGAGAGCCUCAGAAACGGUUACCGAGACACCUCCCCACCAACCACCGUCGUCACAGCCGCCAUCAACACCAUCACAACAGUCGAACGUACUACCGCAGAACCCUCCAAGAAUGCCGUCGUCACAGCCUAGCCCUCCUCCAAGCUCUUCCACGCCGCUCGCCGCUUCAUCAAACCCAGCAUCGGCCCCAGUACAGACCCCUGCGGGACACCCCACGGAAGGGGGACAAGCGAUUGCUGAGGAGAGCAUCAAAGUGGAAAAGGUGGACCUGACUGAAGAGGAGGAUGACGAUGCUACCCUGGACUCGACGCUGGAUUAUGUGGCCGAUUAUGAGGGCGGAUACAGAGAUGGGCCCGAUCUGUCCAUGGCAGACGCUGCGGCCAUCAUGGGCGGAGGAGGCGGCGGGGGCGUGGCAGGGCCCUCUCAGCGACCCCCGGACGACGGCUCCCAGUCAGGUAAGGGCCGGCCUUGCCCAGACUGUGGGCGAAUCUACAAACACAGCGGCUCCCUGAUGCUGCACAGGAAGGUGCACCAAGGGUUGACCACGUGUCCGAUAUGUGGCAGCGUCAACAACCGCGUCGCAGACCUUCGCAGCCACAUGCGUACCGUACACAAGCUCACCAGGGAAGAAGUCAAGGCGAUGGUGCCCAGUGACCGCUGGCGAUUGAACAGGGUGCCAAGUCGGGAACAGCCUCCGGAUCAGUGAAAAGGUUGGCAGUGACAGGCGACAGCAGUGGAGGAGCCGUCAGUGGCAUUAGUGAAUAUGACACCAAUGGUGUCAGUGAACGAACAGACAGUGGCAGCAGCGAAUGAUGCUAUGUUGGUGGUAUCGUUAGCGUUAGGGCUAGCUUUGUGAUGCGGACUUAGAAGAACCGAUGACGGUGUGCAAGUUUUGUUUUGCACCAGGUGUUGAGAUCUUGCUAACGAGAGUUAAUCAAAACGGUGAUCAUUCUCUUGCCAAUUGCGAUUAACGCAUGUUUUGUGCUCAAACCUUGUAUGUGUUCGGAACUGUAAUGUUUGCAUUAAGUGAAUCUGCCUUGUGGGAACUCAUUCAGUUUUAGGGCGAUGGGCAUUUUGAAGAAUUACGAGCCUCAAGUGCAGCCAACUGUAUACGCGUAAGUAAUUUAGUUCGCCUUCUGGCGUCUGAUUAGCGAAGUUGGCGGUAUUGUUUUGGUUCUUUAUUUGCACUGAAAAGUUAAAAUGAUGGUCAUACAAAUGUGAGAGCUAAAGGAGCUUAUGACAAAAAUGUUGCGCUCAAGAUUGCGGCGAGAGUUUUGUAGUGAAUAGUGAUGGAGAGUUGGUGCCCGUCAAACCCGGAUAUAGAGGAGUGAGGAUGUUGUUAAGAUGACUGCUACUUAAGAUGACUGCCGAUUUUGGGUUCAUAACAUGUGGCAGAUGUGACAUAUACCUAACAAGAAAUAAAGGCUGAAGCACACUUUCCUGACUGUGGAAAGAGUAGGUGUCAGGCUUAACGGAUGACCAGGGACUAUUUAUACUAGGGUUAUGUUUUGAAUUGAACCAUGCCAACCAUCUAAA
This 2188-nucleotide unclassified non-coding RNA is filed under the name Amphibalanus amphitrite. RNAcentral describes it as "broad-complex core protein isoforms 1/2/3/4/5-like, transcript variant X5". Lineage: Eukaryota; Metazoa; Arthropoda; Thecostraca; Balanomorpha; Balanidae. The record is from RNAcentral.